Molecule: ribosomal RNA, 422 nt
Filed under: uncultured bacterium
Lineage: Bacteria
Description: bacterial SSU rRNA
Rfam family: Bacterial small subunit ribosomal RNA
Source: RNAcentral
AAUGAACGCUGGCGGCGCGCCUAAUACAUGCAAGUCGAGCGAGAAGACGUAGCAAUACGUUUGUAAAGCGGCGAACGGGUGAGGAAUACAUGGGUAACCUACCCUCGAGUGGGGAAUAACUAGCCGAAAGGUUAGCUAAUACCGCGUACGCUUCUUGGACUUCGGUUCAGGGAGGAAAGCGAUGCCGAGGGUAUCGCGCUCUUGGAUGGGCUCAUGUCCUAUCAGCUUGUUGGNGAGGUAACGGCUCACCAAGGCUUCGACGGGUAGCUGGUCUGAGAGGACGAUCAGCCACACUGGCACUGCGACACGGGCCAGACUCCUACGGGAGGCAGCAGUAAGGAAUAUUGCGCAAUGGGCGAAAGCCUGACGCAGCGACGCCGCGUGGGGGAUGAAGGUCUUCGGAUUGUAAACCCCUUUCGGGA